CUAACUUUAACAUUGAAAAGGCCAUAGACAUGCUAAUAUGUUAGCAUCGGCCCCGUUUGUAAGUUAUAAAAUACAUCUAUGAACUGUUUCAGAAGACCAUAACAGGUUGGUUUAACAUAAAAAGGUAAAUAUUACUCACAGACAUAUGCUCUUUAGGGUUUUAGUGGG
Molecule: long non-coding RNA, 168 nt
Organism: Thalassophryne amazonica
Lineage: Eukaryota; Metazoa; Chordata; Actinopteri; Batrachoidiformes; Batrachoididae
Exons: 2
Source: RefSeq, a predicted model, not a curated record